AACGAACGCUGGCGGCAUGCCUAACACAUGCAAGUCGAACGAGACCUUCGGGUCUAGUGGCGCACGGUUGCGUAACGCGUGGUAACCUGCCCUUAGGCUCGGAAUAACUCCCCGAAAGGGGUGCUAAUACCGGAUAAUGUCUUCGGACCAAAGAUUUAUCGCCUUUGGAUGGGGCCGCGUUGGAUUAGCUAGUUGGUAGGGUAAAAGCCUACCAAGGCGACGAUCCAUAGCUGGUCUGAGAGGAUGAUCAGCCAGACUGGGACUGAGACACGGCCCAGACUCGAACGGGAAGCAGCAGUGGGGAAUAUUGGAGAAGAGGCGAGAGGCUGAUCCAGCAAGGGCGCGUGGGUGAUGAAGGCCUUAGAGUUGUAAAGCUCUUUUACCCGGGAUGAUAAUGACAGUACCGGGAGAAGAAGCUCCGGCUAACUCCGUG
This 433-nucleotide ribosomal RNA is filed under the name uncultured bacterium. RNAcentral's name for it is "partial 16S ribosomal RNA". It matches the Rfam family "Bacterial small subunit ribosomal RNA", at positions 29 to 507 of the family's 1533-position model. The record is from RNAcentral.